Molecule: ribosomal RNA, 1136 nt
Filed under: Escherichia coli
Lineage: Bacteria; Pseudomonadati; Pseudomonadota; Gammaproteobacteria; Enterobacterales; Enterobacteriaceae
Description: partial 23S ribosomal RNA
Rfam family: Bacterial large subunit ribosomal RNA
Source: RNAcentral
UUUUGUAUAAUGGGUCAGCGACUUAUAUUCUGUAGCAAGGUUAACCGAAUAGGGGAGCCGAAGGGAAACCGAGUCUUAACUGGGCGUUAAGUUGCAGGGUAUAGACCCGAAACCCGGUGAUCUAGCCAUGGGCAGGUUGAAGGUUGGGUAACACUAACUGGAGGACCGAACCGACUAAUGUUGAAAAAUUAGCGGAUGACUUGUGGCUGGGGGUGAAAGGCCAAUCAAACCGGGAGAUAGCUGGUUCUCCCCGAAAGCUAUUUAGGUAGCGCCUCGUGAAUUCAUCUCCGGGGGUAGAGCACUGUUUCGGCAAGGGGGUCAUCCCGACUUACCAACCCGAUGCAAACUGCGAAUACCGGAGAAUGUUAUCACGGGAGACACACGGCGGGUGCUAACGUCCGUCGUGAAGAGGGAAACAACCCAGACCGCCAGCUAAGGUCCCAAAGUCAUGGUUAAGUGGGAAACGAUGUGGGAAGGCCCAGACAGCCAGGAUGUUGGCUUAGAAGCAGCCAUCAUUUAAAGAAAGCGUAAUAGCUCACUGGUCGAGUCGGCCUGCGCGGAAGAUGUAACGGGGCUAAACCAUGCACCGAAGCUGCGGCAGCGACGCUGAUGCGUUGUUGGGUAGGGGAGCGUUCUGUAAGCCUGCGAAGGUGUGCUGUGAGGCAUGCUGGAGGUAUCAGAAGUGCGAAUGCUGACAUAAGUAACGAUAAAGCGGGUGAAAAGCCCGCUCGCCGGAAGACCAAGGGUUCCUGUCCAACGUUAAUCGGGGCAGGGUGAGUCGACCCCUAAGGCGAGGCCGAAAGGCGUAGUCGAUGGGAAACAGGUUAAUAUUCCUGUACUUGGUGUUACUGCGAAGGGGGGACGGAGAAGGCUAUGUUGGCCGGGCGACGGUUGUCCCGGUUUAAGCGUGUAGGCUGGUUUUCCAGGCAAAUCCGGAAAAUCAAGGCUGAGGCGUGAUGACGAGGCACUACGGUGCUGAAGCAACAAAUGCCCUGCUUCCAGGAAAAGCCUCUAAGCAUCAGGUAACAUCAAAUCGUACCCCAAACCGACACAGGUGGUCAGGUAGAGAAUACCAAGGCGCUUGAGAGAACUCGGGUGAAGGAACUAGGCAAAAUGGUGCCGUAACUUCGGGAGAA